CAGCGUCCGUUUGACGAAUUGUCUUCACCACUAAACUCAGCUCGUCGAGGAGAACAACCUACACUAAACCAUUUUUCCCGGUUCACAACUUUUUCCGGUGACAUUUUUGUAGCUCCGCCCCUUUCCGGCGACUUUCCGGUGACCUCGUGUACCGUUUUGACAAACGGUUGGCAUGAGUGUGAUCUACUCGUCGAGGUGGUCGUUUUGAUAUAUACUACUCCUAUUUUCGGCGACAUUUCCGGUACACCAAUUUUUACCGCCACCGAUUGUUAAUGUGCACCGCUUAGGUGAGAGUAAUAUGUAAGUUUGGACUAAACAAUUGAAGCUCGGGACUUGAGAGCUUAAGAUCGUCUUUUGGAAAAAGUUUAACGACUCGGGAGAGGAACUCAGUUUGAUGCUAGUGGAUGAGGAUGGUACCGUUGGGAAAGGAAUGUCGUUAUUAGUUUAGUCAUAUUUUACUCUUUCACCUUCUAAUGAGACUGAUUUUGUAUUUAAGAACAAAUGUAUGGUCUGGAUGACUUAAAUUAGCUAUGUACUAGUUAGAAAUGAGAAACGAUGGAUGCUAGGUAUUAUUUUGGUAUUUUAUUGACUUAUUAAAUCUAUCUAUUUGGUGAUCACAUAACUGUGGGGAUAUUACUGUUCUUUUAUAUUGAUGAGUGAUCCAGAAUUUAUUAUUAAUAUUUUCUUAUUAAUAUAGGAGUUAAUCCAUAUCUU
This is a long non-coding RNA of Cannabis sativa, 714 nucleotides long. RefSeq lists it as uncharacterized. The record is from RefSeq and is a predicted model, not a curated record. The transcript is spliced from 3 exons. NCBI's taxonomy places the organism in Eukaryota, Viridiplantae, Streptophyta, Magnoliopsida, Rosales, Cannabaceae.